UAAUACCGAAUAAGACCACAUGCCGACAGGCACGGGGUAAAAGGUGGCUAGGGUCGUAAGGACUAUGCUGCCGCUUGAAGAAGGGCUCACGUCCCAUCAGCUUGUUGGUAGGGUAACGGCUUACCAAGGCAAUGACGGGUAGCUGGUCUGAGAGGACGACCAGCCACACUGGCACUGAGACACGGGCCAGACUCCUACGGGAGGCAGCAGUGAGGAAUAUUGGGCAAUGGGGGAAACCCUGACCCAGCGACGCCGCGUGAGGGAAGAAGGCCUUCGGGUUGUAAACCUCUUUUAGUUGGAAAGAAUCCCUCGCUGUAAAUAGCAGCGGGGUUGACGGUACCGACAGAAAAAGCCACGGCUAACUCUGUGCCAGCAGCCGCGGUAAGACAGAGGUGGCGAGCGUUGUUCGGAUUUACUGGGCGUAAAGCGUACGUAGGCGGCUGGAUAAGUCCUGUGUGAAAUCCCCCCGCUCAACGGGGGAACGGCAUGGGAGACUGUCCGGCUAGAGGGUUGGAGAGGAGAGUGGAAUUCCCGGUGUAGCGGUGAAAUGCGUAGAGAUCGGGAGGAACACCUGUGGCGAAGGCGGCUCUCUGGACAACCCCUGACGCUCAAGUACGAAAGCGUGGGGAGCAAACAGGAUUAGAUACCCUGGUAGUCCACGCCCUAAACGAUGGGCACUCAGUGUGGGAGGUAUCGACCCCUUCCGUGCUGCAGCU
Molecule: ribosomal RNA, 716 nt
Filed under: uncultured bacterium
Lineage: Bacteria
Description: bacterial SSU rRNA
Rfam family: Bacterial small subunit ribosomal RNA
Source: RNAcentral